UUARAGUUUGAUCCUGGCUCAKAACRAAYGCUGGCGGCGUGCCUAACACAUGCAAGUCGAACGGAUUUGAGGGGCUUGCUUCUCAAGUUAGUGGCGCACGGGUGAGUAACGCGUAGAUAAUCUGCCUGAUGAUCUGGGAUAACACUUCGAAAGGGGUGCUAAUACCGGAUAAGCCCACGGAGUCUUUGGACUUUGCGGGAAAAGGGGGGGACCUUCGGGCCUUCUGUCAUCAGAUGAGUCUGCGUACCAUUAGCUAGUUGGUGGGGUAAUGGCCCACCAAGGCUACGAUGGUUAGCUGGUCUGAGAGGAUGAUCASCCACACUGGAACUGARACACGGUCCAGACUCCUACGGGAGGCAGCAGUGGGGAAUUUUGCGCAAUGGGGGAAGCCCUGACGCAS
This 400-nucleotide ribosomal RNA is filed under the name uncultured Geobacteraceae bacterium. RNAcentral's name for it is "bacterial SSU rRNA". It matches the Rfam family "Bacterial small subunit ribosomal RNA", at positions 1 to 391 of the family's 1533-position model. The record is from RNAcentral. Lineage: Bacteria; Pseudomonadati; Thermodesulfobacteriota; Desulfuromonadia; Geobacterales; Geobacteraceae.